This 252-nucleotide ribosomal RNA is filed under the name uncultured bacterium. Its description in RNAcentral is "partial 16S ribosomal RNA". It matches the Rfam family "Bacterial small subunit ribosomal RNA", at positions 524 to 776 of the family's 1533-position model. The record is from RNAcentral.
UACGAAGGUGGCAAGCGUUGUUCGGAUUUACUGGGCGUACAGGGAGCGUAGGCGGUUGGAUAAGCCCUCCGUGAAAUCUCCAGGCUUAACCUGGAAAGUGCAGAGGGGACUGUUCAGCUAGAGGAUGGGAGAGGAGCGCGGAAUUCCCGGUGUAGCGGUGAAAUGCGUAGAGAUCGGGAGGAAGGCCGGUGGCGAAGGCGGCGCUCUGGACAGUUCCUGACACUGAGACACGAAGGCCAGGGAGCAAACGGG